GCAGUGGUGGUUCAGUGUUAGAAUUCUCACCUUCCAUGUGGAGGACCUGGGUUUGAUUCCCAGUCAGUGAA
Molecule: transfer RNA, 71 nt
Filed under: Loxodonta africana (African savanna elephant)
Lineage: Eukaryota; Metazoa; Chordata; Mammalia; Proboscidea; Elephantidae
Rfam family: tRNA
About the family: Transfer RNA (tRNA) molecules are approximately 80 nucleotides in length. Their secondary structure includes four short double-helical elements and three loops (D, anti-codon, and T loops).
Source: Rfam by way of RNAcentral